Cebus imitator (Panamanian white-faced capuchin) is the source of this 385-nucleotide non-coding RNA. The record is from the annotation of a RefSeq genome assembly. NCBI's taxonomy places the organism in Eukaryota, Metazoa, Chordata, Mammalia, Primates, Cebidae.
GACUGAACACAGAGGACUCACCAUGGAGUCUGGGCUGAGCUGGGUCUUCCUUGUUGCUAUUUUUAAAGGUGUCCUGUGUGAGGUGCAGCUGGUGGAGUCUGGGGGAGGCUGGGUUCAGCCCGGGGGGUCCCUUAGACUCUCCUGUGCAGCCUCUGGAUUCACCUUCAGUAGCCAUGACAUAUACUGGGUUCGCCAGGCUCCAGGGAAGGGUCUGGAGUGGGUCUCAGCUAUUAAUUCUAGUGGUGUCACAUACUAUGCAGACUCUGUGAAGGGCAGAUUCACCAUCUCCAGAGACAAUGCCAAGAACUCUGUGUAUCUUCAAAUGAACAGCCUGAGAGUGGAGGACACGGCUGUGUAUUACUGUGGAAGACACACAGUGAGGUGA